UGGGGUGUAGCAUAAUUGGCAGUGCGNCUGACUGUUAAUCAGGAUUGUGUAGGUUCAAAUCCUACCGCCCCAG
Molecule: transfer RNA, 73 nt
Filed under: Fidelibacterota bacterium
Lineage: Bacteria; Pseudomonadati; Fidelibacterota
Description: tRNA-Asn
Rfam family: tRNA
About the family: Transfer RNA (tRNA) molecules are approximately 80 nucleotides in length. Their secondary structure includes four short double-helical elements and three loops (D, anti-codon, and T loops).
Source: RNAcentral